CGUUCCCGGGUCUUGUACACACCGCCCGUCACACCACGAAAGUCAGCAACACCCGAAGCCGGUGGCCUAACCCGCAAGGGAGGGAGCCGUCGAAGGUGGGGCCGGCGAUUGGGGUGAAGUCGUAACAAGGUACCC
RNAcentral lists this ribosomal RNA (135 nucleotides) under uncultured bacterium. RNAcentral describes it as "partial 16S ribosomal RNA". It matches the Rfam family "Bacterial small subunit ribosomal RNA", at positions 1369 to 1501 of the family's 1533-position model. The record is from RNAcentral.